CCUACGGGUGGCUGCAGUGGGGAAUAUUGGACAAUGGGGGGAACCCUGAUCCAGCCAUGCCGCGUGUGUGAAGAAGGCCCUCGGGUUGUAAAGCACUUUCAGUGAGGAAGAACGCCUGGUGGUUAAUACCCAUCAGGAAAGACAUCACUCACAGAAGAAGCACCGGCUAACUCCGUGCCAGCAGCCGCGGUAAUACGGAGGGUGCGAGCGUUAAUCGGAAUUACUGGGCGUAAAGCGCGCGUAGGUGGCUUGAUAAGCCGGUUGUGAAAGCCCCGGGCUCAACCUGGGAACGGCAUCCGGAACUGUCAAGCUAGAGUGCAGGAGAGGAAGGUAGAAUUCCUGGUGUAGCGGUGAAAUGCGUAGAGAUCGGGAGGAAUACCAGUGGCGAAGGCGGCCUUCUGGACUGACACUGACACUGAGGUGCGAAAGCGUGGGUAGCAAACAGGAUUAGAUACCCGUGUAGUC
Molecule: ribosomal RNA, 465 nt
Filed under: Vreelandella stevensii
Lineage: Bacteria; Pseudomonadati; Pseudomonadota; Gammaproteobacteria; Oceanospirillales; Halomonadaceae
Description: partial 16S ribosomal RNA
Rfam family: Bacterial small subunit ribosomal RNA
Source: RNAcentral